This 465-nucleotide ribosomal RNA is filed under the name Vreelandella stevensii. Its description in RNAcentral is "partial 16S ribosomal RNA". It matches the Rfam family "Bacterial small subunit ribosomal RNA", at positions 338 to 795 of the family's 1533-position model. Lineage: Bacteria; Pseudomonadati; Pseudomonadota; Gammaproteobacteria; Oceanospirillales; Halomonadaceae. The record is from RNAcentral.
CUUACGGGAGGCUGCAGUGGGGAAUAUUGGACAAUGGGGGGAACCCUGAUCCAGCCAUGCCGCGUGUGUGAAGAAGGCCCUCGGGUUGUAAAGCACUUUCAGUGAGGAAGAACGCCUGGUGGUUAAUACCCAUCAGGAAAGACAUCACUCACAGAAGAAGCACCGGCUAACUCCGUGCCAGCAGCCGCGGUAAUACGGAGGGUGCGAGCGUUAAUCGGAAUUACUGGGCGUAAAGCGCGCGUAGGUGGCUUGAUAAGCCGGUUGUGAAAGCCCCGGGCUCAACCUGGGAACGGCAUCCGGAACUGUCAAGCUAGAGUGCAGGAGAGGAAGGUAGAAUUCCCGGUGUAGCGGUGAAAUGCGUAGAGAUCGGGAGGAAUACCAGUGGCGAAGGCGGCCUUCUGGACUGACACUGACACUGAGGUGCGAAAGCGUGGGUAGCAAACAGGAUUAGAUACCCGGGUAGUC